GGGCGAUGACGAAUGUGAUUCAUCAACGUCUCGGUCCUCGUAACGGCGGCAUCGCCGCCUUGCCAACCAUCCUGAUAUAUCACCACCCAUAUUCCGAGUCC
This is a non-coding RNA of Musa acuminata subsp. malaccensis (wild Malaysian banana), 101 nucleotides long. The record is from Rfam. NCBI's taxonomy places the organism in Eukaryota, Viridiplantae, Streptophyta, Magnoliopsida, Zingiberales, Musaceae.